GCCUCCGUAGCUCAGGGGUAGAGCGCUUUCUUGGUAAGAAAGAGGUCAUGGGUUCAAAUCCCAUCGGAGGCU
RNAcentral lists this transfer RNA (72 nucleotides) under Anaerolineaceae bacterium. Its description in RNAcentral is "tRNA-Thr". It matches the Rfam family "tRNA". Rfam says of the family: Transfer RNA (tRNA) molecules are approximately 80 nucleotides in length. Lineage: Bacteria; Bacillati; Chloroflexota; Anaerolineae; Anaerolineales; Anaerolineaceae. The record is from RNAcentral. RNAcentral also lists the same sequence under 1 other name.